CACUCCUGCGGGAGGCAGCAGUGGGGAAUAUUGGACAAUGGGCGCAAGCCUGAUCCAGCCAUGCCGCGUGAGUGAUGAAGGCCCUAGGGUUGUAAAGCUCUUUCACCGGUGAAGAUAAUGACGGUAACCGGAGAAGAAGCCCCGGCUAACUUCGUGCCAGCAGCCGCGGUAAUACGAAGGGGGCUAGCGUUGUUCGGAUUUACUGGGCGUAAAGCGCACGUAGGCGGACUAUUAAGUCAGGGGUGAAAUCCCGGGGCUCAACCCCGGAACUGCCUUUGAUACUGGUAGUCUUGAGUUCGAGAGAGGUGAGUGGAAUUCCGAGUGUAGAGGUGAAAUUCGUAGAUAUUCGGAGGAACACCAGUGGCGAAGGCGGCUCACUGGCUCGAUACUGACGCUGAGGUGCGAAAGCGUGGGGAGCAAACAGGAUUAGAAACCCGGGUAGUCC
This 445-nucleotide ribosomal RNA is filed under the name uncultured organism. Its description in RNAcentral is "partial 16S ribosomal RNA". It matches the Rfam family "Bacterial small subunit ribosomal RNA", at positions 334 to 796 of the family's 1533-position model. The record is from RNAcentral.